This 484-nucleotide ribosomal RNA is filed under the name uncultured bacterium. RNAcentral describes it as "partial 16S ribosomal RNA". It matches the Rfam family "Bacterial small subunit ribosomal RNA", at positions 36 to 507 of the family's 1533-position model. The record is from RNAcentral.
CUUUCCCUCUCUCUUGAUGCUUUACACAUGCAAGUCGAACGGCAGCGCGGACUUCGGUCUGGCGGCGAGUGGCGAACGGGUGAGUAAUGUAUCGGAACGUGCCCAGUAGCGGGGGAUAACUACGCGAAAGCGUAGCUAAUACCGCAUACGCCCUACGGGGGAAAGCCGGGGAUCGGAAGACCUUGCACUAUUGGAGCGGCCGAUAUCGGAUUAGCUAGUUGGUGAGGUAACGGCUCACCAAGGCGACGAUCCGUAGCUGGUUUGAGAGGACGACCAGCCACACUGGGACUGAGACACGGCCCAGACUCCUACGGGCGGCAGCAGUGGGGAAUUUUGGACAAUGGGGGCAACCCUGAUCCAGCCAUCCCGCGUGUGCGAUGAAGGCCUUCGGGUUGUAAAGCACUUUUGGCAGGAAAGAAACGGCGCGGGCUAAUACCCCGUGGAACUGACGGUACCUGCAGAAUAAGCACCGGCUAACUACGUG